AGGUCCUGGAGGUGUGGCUGAGCUACCUGCAGCCAUGGUGGUAUGCAGCUGACAAGCAGGCUGCCAGCAGCAACUCCCAGCCCCAGUGUGUCUGAGAAAUGUCUCCUGAGCUGUCAUCCAUAACACUGCACAGUUAAGGCUGAGACCGGCUGGACCCUGCCUGCCCUGCAGCCACCAGGCACCAGGCACUGGGUGGAAGACCGCAGUUCGAGCAGCUGUUCCCGGAGCCGGAGCUCGUCAUCCCCCUACCGCCAGCACCGACUCUUCACAGCCUGCACAUUCGCCAGCAGCAUCCUGUCAUAGUGGCCACCAGUGGUCACUGAUGCCUCCUUCAAUGUGAAGAGUCACAUCUAUGGCCUGGAGGGCCAGGACUGCAAGUACACCCGAUGUUCGGGCCCGAGGCUUACACCCUGGUGAGUGGGUUGGCGGUGCCCCUUCACAGGACCCCUGGAGCCACAAGGCUGAGCAGAGGCAGGGAAGUGCUGUGUUCUGGCGGGAGGGAGGGAGGUUGGGCGGAGAGUUGACGCACAUCUCCUUUCCCCGUUUCAGUAAAGUCUGAUUUGUUUCUGAUAACGAAGGCAGUGUUGGGAAAUUUCACAUUUAGAAGAUCAUUCUUUAGUCUUUAAAAGUCCUCCAGCAGAAGCUGCUCCUCCCGUCACUCAGUGAUCUGGCUGUGCACCCAUCUUAGGGCCCCCAGCCAGCCUGCCUGGGUGGCAGUACAGGCGUAUCCUGCCGGUGACCUGCCCUCGCCUCCCUUGCAGGUCCUGCACCUUACUCAGCUCAUCACGCAGGCCAAGCACACGGCCAGGUCCAUCUCGGACCAGUGUGUGGAGACUCCAGCUGGCCACUCCUUCCUGUUGUGGCUGGGCUUUGGCCCCACAGACACCAACGGCUCCUAUUCAGCCAUGACCUGGGCGAGAUGGGGCAGGACAGCGUCCAGAAGAUGGACGAGUGCCUGGAGGAGGCCCUGGCGUACCUGCGCCAGAUAUUCCGAGUAUGAGCAAUGGGGCCUGUUCCACGGCCGUUAGGGUCCCCUUCCCCGAAGGAUCCACUCCCCCUUUGCCCAUGGUCAGCAUGCAUCCGUCCCAGGCCCCAUGCAGAUGAACCCGGUGUUGUGGGAGGCAGGCCCACACCCCGAGUGUCAUGUCCGGGUGCUCUCGUUGCCACUGUUAGAGGCUGGUGGGGUGAAGACUGGUGUUCCUUUGCCUUGACACUGAGGGCAGAGGAGCUUCUCUCUCUCUGGUAGCUCAGUGAAGUGCAGCUCACGCAGAGUCUCUCACACUUGCCUUGGACACCAUCCAGGAUGAGAAUGGAAAGAAGCAGCUCCGGACUGCAUCGCGGGUGAGGACAGACUCAUCCCCACGCCCCUGGGCCAGUACCAGGUGAG
Molecule: long non-coding RNA, 1387 nt
Filed under: Homo sapiens (human)
Lineage: Eukaryota; Metazoa; Chordata; Mammalia; Primates; Hominidae
Description: non-protein coding lnc-PI4KA-3:6
Source: RNAcentral